CCUACGGGAGGCAGCAGUGAGGAAUAUUGGUCAAUGGGCGCGAGCCUGAACCAGCCAAGUCGCGUGAAGGAUGACUGCCCUACGGGUUGUAAACUUCUUUUGUACAGGAAUAAAGUGAGGCACGCGUGCCUUUUUGUAUGUACUUUAUGAAUAAGGAUCGGCUAACUCCGUGCCAGCAGCCGCGGUAAUACGGAGGAUCCGAGCGUUAUCCGGAUUUAUUGGGUUUAAAGGGAGCGUAGAUGGGUUGUUAAGUCAGUUGUGAAAGUUCGCGGCUCAACCGCAAAAUUGCAAUUGAUACUGGCAGGCUUGAGUACAGUUGAGGUAGGCGGAAUUCGUGGUGUAGCGGUGAAAUGCUUAGAUAUCACGAAGAACUCCGAUUGCGAAGGCAGCUUACUAAGCUGCCACUGACAUUGAUGCUCGAAAGCGUGGGUAUCAAACAGGAUUAGAUACCCCUGUAGUC
This 460-nucleotide ribosomal RNA is filed under the name uncultured bacterium. RNAcentral describes it as "partial 16S ribosomal RNA". It matches the Rfam family "Bacterial small subunit ribosomal RNA", at positions 338 to 795 of the family's 1533-position model. The record is from RNAcentral.